Molecule: ribosomal RNA, 193 nt
Filed under: Bacillus pumilus
Lineage: Bacteria; Bacillati; Bacillota; Bacilli; Caryophanales; Bacillaceae
Description: partial 16S ribosomal RNA
Rfam family: Bacterial small subunit ribosomal RNA
Source: RNAcentral
UCGGAGAGUUUGAUCCUGGCUCAGGACGAACGCUGGCGGCGUGCCUAAUACAUGCAAGUCGAGCGAACAGAAGGGAGCUUGCUCCCGGAUGUUAGCGGCGGACGGGUGAGUAACACGUGGGUAACCUGCCUGUAAGACUGGGAUAACUUCGGGAAACCGGAGCUAAUACCGGAUAGUUCCUUGAACCGCAUGG